AUGCCGGAUCAGGUGAAGCACUGCAAGACGGCGCUCAAGGUGCUCGACAAAACGCUCAAGAAGCCGGCCGCAAUAUUUGACGACUUUAGAGGCCUUCCGGCCAUAAGAACAUCGCUCCAGUUGGCUCAGAAGUUUACUGUGGCUCGAAGUCCUGCUAAUAGGGAAAGGAACCGCUACACUGAUGUCUUGCCAUUUGAUGAAACCAGGAUAAAGCUACAGUCCUCAACAGGCAAUCAGACUUCAAGUAAUGAUUACAUCAAUGCAAGCCUUAUAAAGUAUGAUGACAAAGAUCAGACAAAGUUCAUUUCUACUCAAGGUCCGCUAGUGAAUACAUUCGAAGACUUUUGGCAGAUGGUCUUUGAGAACAGCUGUCCUGUAAUUGUCAUGCUCACUAAAUUUGACAUUGUUAAGUGUGAUGAGUAUCUUCCACUGAGCAAGGGGCAAGGAGACUAUGGAAGAUUGAACAUUAAAAUCAUGGAGACCAGACAAGAUGGGGAAUUAACAUUGCGCAGUGUGAAGGUGCAACAUAACGAGUCAGAUAGAGUGCAUACUGUUCUCCACAUCCAGCACUCCACUUGGCCUGACCAUGGUGUGCCAGAUGACAGCAGUACUGUACGGAAGAUUCUAAAAAGAUUAUAUUACAUUCCUAAAGAGCACCCAGUUGUUGCACAUUGCAGUGCAGGCAUUGGGAGAACUGGUGCUUACAUCACAAUCCAUAAUACAGUAGAGAGGAUAUUACGUGGUGAACAAGCUGCUACAAAUCUUGUGGAAACUGUCGGGAAGUUUAGAUCCCAGAGACCUGGCAUGGUCCAAACAGAGGAACAAUACAAGUUCUGCUAUCAUGCAAUUGCGGAUGAGCUGAAAGAUCUGAUUAGGAAUUCGAAGCGCUGA
This 891-nucleotide ribosomal RNA is filed under the name Triticum aestivum (bread wheat). RNAcentral's name for it is "partial small subunit ribosomal RNA". The record is from RNAcentral. Lineage: Eukaryota; Viridiplantae; Streptophyta; Magnoliopsida; Poales; Poaceae.